This is a long non-coding RNA of Fukomys damarensis (Damara mole-rat), 3391 nucleotides long. The record is from Ensembl. Lineage: Eukaryota; Metazoa; Chordata; Mammalia; Rodentia; Bathyergidae.
UGCGAUCGAGAGGCCGGGGACCGGGAGCGGAGGCUGGGGUGCGAGCGAAGAAAAGCGCGGCUGCGUCCCAGCCCAGAACUCCAGCUUCAGCUGCAAAUCGCACGCGCUGAUUUGCAUGUCAUUUGCAUGGCGCUCCGGGAGUGGCCCCGAGCCCUCCUGCCACGCCCCCCUCCGUGCUGGGUCGGGGCGCAGUGAGCCAAGGAUCCCAGCUCAGCGCAGCCAGAGCUUGGACCGAGUCUGCCCCGCCACGGACCGGUUCUCACCAGCGUACUGGACCGGAGAGCCGAAGAGCCGGCCGCGUGGGUCUGAGACGUUAGGUUUACCGGAACAUCGAUCGGUACAGGACGCGAGGUCGCAUGCUUGGAAAAGUGCAGUGGGAACCAUAACAAAAGAGUUCCUGUUAACUAAGUGGUCCUUGAUAACUACUCCUGCAACAUGAGACUGUGAACCAAGCCUCAAGAACUCUACUCUGGGCUCUACACCUCUCGUAACCUUUUCAUUCACUCAUGUUGCUCUGCUGCCACUGGUAAUACCCAAGUGUCCCCCAAAUCUUUCCCUUCUGGGCUCCACAGCCACACCCAGCUACUGGACUUCUUUACCUGGGAUUCAUACCCAAUGGCACCCUCUUCCCCUUUCCCCAAUAAACUUGCUCAGUUUCCUGGCUUUCGGGUUAACAAUACUGGCACCCAUCCAGCUGCCCAGGCCAGACACUAGGGUUUCCUAUGGGAUUUCCUGCCUACACAGAUGGUAAAUCCCCUCCUCCCUCAGUUCCCACUACCACUGGCUGUCCCUUCAGCUGUGUGGCAGGCUUCCAGCUGGGCUUCCCUAAUCCAUAAUCCAUACUACUUUGGGCACACAUGAUUGUCCUUGACAUACAUCUCUUAAUAGAAUUCUCCUCCGCAGAUAUCCAGAGCAGACCAAAUUCCCCAUCUGUUUGGAGCUCUUCUUUAGCUAUUCAUCAUAAGCUCCACUCCAGCUUGCAGCUCUGAACAUGCCUUGCCAGUCCAAGACUUACCAGCCUUUCCUGACCUCUGAAAACCCCUUAUCUGUGACACUGAGUGAGCCCUAAAGUCUGACUGACACCCCCCCACCCCGGUGCCAAAAGCAUGUGCUUCAUCCUCAGUAAUCUUCUGAGACUCCGAGCACAAGGAUUGGUUUUGCUUUUUUUAUAUACCCUGGCAACCAACAGGAAGCUUGGCACAAAGUAAAUGAAUAAAUGCAGGUAUUGUAUUGUUUAUCUGUGGAAAUAAAUUUUAACUUGCAUUAACUGUCACGAUGGUUACCUUUAGGUGUCAACUUGACUAGAUUAAGGGUGGCUCAGAGAAAGAGUACAGCAUAGCUCAUGGGCGUGCCUGUGAGGGGAUUUGCAAAGGUGACUGAUGUGCCAGUUGGUAGAGUGAAUGAGGAAGAUUUGCCCUCCACAUUGGUAGGCACCAUCCCGUCGCCUGGGGGCCCCAUAGAUCAGCAGCAACAAAAAGCACAGCAAAAGCAAUUUCCUGUCUCUGUUCUGGAGCUGGGACACUCUUCUCUUGCCCUUAGACAACAAGACUCUUGGACUUUAGGACUUACACCAGCAGCCACCAAGGUUAUCAGGCCUUUUGCAAAUCACACUGUUGGCUUCCCUGGUUCUGAGGCUUCAGACUUGAACUGAGCCCCAGGGCCUCCAGCUUACAGAUGGCCAGUUGUGGGACUUCUUGGUCUCCAUAAUUAUGUGAAUCAAUCCCCUCAAUAAAUCCCAUCUUAUAUCUAUGUCUUAUUAGUUCUGUCUCUUUGAAGAACACUAACUAGUAUCGUUGCAAAAAUAAAACUAGAAAAAACUAACAAUCUCAUUUAAAAAAAAAUGGAAUUUUUUGUGGAGCCAGUAAGGUUUCUUGCUGGACACCCACCUGUCUCAUACAGAUGAUCAGGACUUUGCAUAAAGAAUGGGAAUACCAAAACAAUGAAACCUGGUUUUUUGUUUGUUUGUUUGUUUUCACAGUACAAGGGAUCAAACUCAGGACCUUGUGCUUGGCAGGCAGGAUCAGUGCCACUGAGCUACAUCCUCAGCCAAUGGAACUUUUAAGAGACAGAGAAGAAAGAGGAAAAACUCCUUUGGGAGACUUUUAAAUUUUAAAUUUUUAUUUAGUUUCUUAGUAAAUGUACAUAGUUCGUAAUGUUUAUAUUCCUUGUGGGUGGUUAGUACAUGUAUAUAACACAUUUUAAUUCCUUUUUUUAAAUUUCCUUUCCCUUCCCUCAGCCCUCCAUCUCUUGAUCCCCUCUCCUCCAACCCUUUGAGCAUGUUUGCAGUACAUAAUAUUUACAGUCUUUGCAUGCAGUUGGUCCACAUAUGUAACAUGUCCCAAUAUUUCAUCUCUUUUCCAUCCUCUCCCUCCUCCUCCCUCUAUUUCUUAAACCACUUCUGCUUUGAGAAUGAUCUAUCUCCCUACUUCCUAUUAUCAUUUCCUUUGUCCUUCAUUUUUACUCUGAGUUUCUCACCCAUACAUUAUUUAUGCUGUGUGUCUGAUUUAUUUCACUAAACAUUAUGGUCUCAAAGUACAUCCAUUUUCCUACAUGUGAGUCAAAUUUAUCUUUUUUAUGGCAGUGUAGUACUCCAUUCUGUGUACAUAGCACAUUUUCUGUUCUCUUUCUUUCUUUCUUUUUUGGUACAGGGGAUCGAACUCAGGUCCUUGCACUUGUGAGGCAGGUGCCGGAAUCACUGAGCUAAAUCCCCGGCCCCUAUAGCACAUUUUCUUUAUCCAUUCAUUUGUUGAUAGACAUCUGAGCCACUUCCAGAUUUAGCUACUAGGUAUUGUGCUGCUAUAAACAUGGGUGUGUAUGGUGACCAUAAUAUGAUGUCUUUAACUCUUUCGGGAAGAUUUCUAGAAGGGGAAUAGCUGGGUCAAAUGGAAUUUCGAGGUUUACUUUUUUGAGGAAUUCUAGUACUGGUCUCCAUAGUAGCUGUACCAAUCUACACUCCCACCAACAGUGGAGAAGGAUUCCCUUUUCCCCACAGCUCUGCCAGUAUCUGUUAUUGGUUGAUUUCUUCAUAACAGCCAUUCUUUCUGAAAAUGAGAUGGAAUCUCAGUGUUGUUUUAAUUUGCAUUUCUCUAACAGCAGGCGAUGUUGAGCAUUUGUUCAUGUAUUUAUUGGCUGUUUGUACUUCUGUGUCUGUUCAUUUCUCUUCUCCUUUUUUUUUUUUUUAGCCAUGGCAAAGUUUAUUUGAAAAAGUAAAAGUGAAGAGCGAGAGAGAAACUGGCUGUGCAGUGUGAUCUUGGCCUGAGUAAAAGAGGAGAAAGCAAGAUAAAAGAAACACCCUUACUGGCACCAUGCCUUUGCAAGGUCCUGAGUUCAAUCUCUGGUACCAAAAAAAAAAGAAAAAAAAAGAAAGAAAAGAAAAGAGAAUGCCCUUAGG